RNAcentral lists this ribosomal RNA (1343 nucleotides) under uncultured bacterium. RNAcentral's name for it is "16S ribosomal RNA". It matches the Rfam family "Bacterial small subunit ribosomal RNA", at positions 28 to 1378 of the family's 1533-position model. The record is from RNAcentral.
GACGAACGCUGGCGGCGUGCUUAACACAUGCAAGUCGAACGGAAAGGCCCUGCUUUUGUGGGGUGCUCGAGUGGCGAACGGGUGAGUAACACGUGAGUAACCUGCCCUUGACUUUGGGAUAACUUCAGGAAACUGGGGCUAAUACCGGAUAGGAGCUCCUGCCGCAUGGUGGGGGUUGGAAAGUUUCGGCGGUUGGGGAUGGACUCGCGGCUUAUCAGCUUGUUGGUGGGGUAGUGGCUUACCAAGGCUUCGACGGGUAGCCGGCCUGAGAGGGUGACCGGCCACAUUGGGACUGAGAUACGGCCCAGACUCCUACGGGAGGCAGCAGUGGGGAAUAUUGCACAAUGGGCGGAAGCCUGAUGCAGCAACGCCGCGUGCGGGAUGACGGCCUUCGGGUUGUAAACCGCUUUCGCCUGUGACGAAGCGUGAGUGACGGUAAUGGGUAAAGAAGCACCGGCUAACUACGUGCCAGCAGCCGCGGUGAUACGUAGGGUGCGAGCGUUGUCCGGAUUUAUUGGGCGUAAAGGGCUCGUAGGUGGUUGAUCGCGUCGGAAGUGUAAUCUUGGGGCUUAACCCUGAGCGCGCUUUCGAUACGGGUUGACUUGAGGAAGGUAGGGGAGAAUGGAAUUCCUGGUGGAGCGGUGGAAUGCGCAGAUAUCAGGAGGAACACCAGUGGCGAAGGCGGUUCUCUGGGCCUUUCCUGACGCUGAGGAGCGAAAGCGUGGGGAGCGAACAGGCUUAGAUACCCUGGUAGUCCACGCUGUAAACGGUGGGUACUAGGUGUGGGGUCCAUUCCACGGGUUCCGUGCCGUAGCUAACGCUUUAAGUACCCCGCCUGGGGAGUACGGCCGCAAGGCUAAAACUCAAAGGAAUUGACGGGGCCCCGCACAAGCGGCGGAGCAUGCGGAUUAAUUCGAUGCAACGCGUAGAACCUUACCUGGGUUUGACAUGGAUCGGGAGUGCUCAGAGAUGGGUGUGCCUCUUUUGGGGUCGGUUCACAGGUGGUGCAUGGCUGUCGUCAGCUCGUGUCGUGAGAUGUUGGGUUAAGUCCCGCAACGAGCGCAACCCUUGUUCACUGUUGCCAGCACGUUAUGGUGGGGACUCAGUGGAGACCGCCGGGGUCAACUCGGAGGAAGGUGGGGAUGACGUCAAGUCAUCAUGCCCCUUAUGUCCAGGGCUUCACGCAUGCUACAAUGGCUGGUACAGAGAGUGGCGAGCCUGUGAGGGUGAGCGAAUCUCGGAAAGCCGGUCUCAGUUCGGAUUGGGGUCUGCAACUCGACCUCAUGAAGUCGGAGUCGCUAGUAAUCGCAGAUCAGCAACGCUGCGGUGAAUACGUUCCCGGG